CAGGAAGCAUAUUACAUUAGUGACCCCACCCCUUUCCGAUGUUUACACCAGUUUUCAGAAAAGACCAUUUUUAUACAUAACCAAUGUAAAUUAUUUGUUUUUCAUGUUCUGUAGGUAGUCGAUGAACAAAGGUUGUUCUGUUAUAUAACAUUUGAGUUAAAAGCACAACAUUUCACUUUUUUGUAUGCCUAUUGACUGGCACCAGGUGUAGCUCUAGCGGC
Non-coding RNA from Pelobates cultripes (western spadefoot toad), 221 nucleotides. Lineage: Eukaryota; Metazoa; Chordata; Amphibia; Anura; Pelobatidae. The record is from the annotation of a GenBank genome assembly.